RNAcentral lists this ribosomal RNA (618 nucleotides) under Cellulosimicrobium sp. CH363. Its description in RNAcentral is "bacterial SSU rRNA". It matches the Rfam family "Bacterial small subunit ribosomal RNA", at positions 724 to 1340 of the family's 1533-position model. Lineage: Bacteria; Bacillati; Actinomycetota; Actinomycetes; Micrococcales; Promicromonosporaceae. The record is from RNAcentral.
GGUCUCUGGGCCGCAACUGACGCUGAGGAGCGAAAGCAUGGGGAGCGAACAGGAUUAGAUACCCUGGUAGUCCAUGCCGUAAACGUUGGGCACUAGGUGUGGGGCUCAUUCCACGAGUUCCGUGCCGCAGCAAACGCAUUAAGUGCCCCGCCUGGGGAGUACGGCCGCAAGGCUAAAACUCAAAGGAAUUGACGGGGGCCCGCACAAGCGGCGGAGCAUGCGGAUUAAUUCGAUGCAACGCGAAGAACCUUACCAAGGCUUGACAUGCACGAGAAGCCACCAGAGAUGGUGGUCUCUUUGGACACUCGUGCACAGGUGGUGCAUGGUUGUCGUCAGCUCGUGUCGUGAGAUGUUGGGUUAAGUCCCGCAACGAGCGCAACCCUCGUCCCAUGUUGCCAGCGGGUUAUGCCGGGGACUCAUGGGAGACUGCCGGGGUCAACUCGGAGGAAGGUGGGGAUGACGUCAAAUCAUCAUGCCCCUUAUGUCUUGGGCUUCACGCAUGCUACAAUGGCCGGUACAAAGGGCUGCGAUACCGUAAGGUGGAGCGAAUCCCAAAAAGCCGGUCUCAGUUCGGAUUGGGGUCUGCAACUCGACCCCAUGAAGUCGGAGUCGCUAGUA